GGGGAUUGAGUUUGUGGUAGGUGUUGGGAUUGUUGAUGGUGGUGGGAAUGUUGAGGUUGAUGUUGGUAAUCUUCAUGAUAUUGGGGUUGAGUUUGUGGUAUGUAGUGUUGAUUUGGUUGGGGGGUGGACAUGUGUUGUGGUGGUUGUUGUUGGUAAUACGGUGGUGGUGGUUGUUGUUGAUAAUACGGUGGUGGUGGUUGUUGUUGGUAAUAUGGUGGUGGUUGUUGUUGUUGGUAAUAU
This 240-nucleotide long non-coding RNA is filed under the name Lathyrus oleraceus (garden pea). RNAcentral's name for it is "Pisum sativum (pea) long non-coding RNA (PSAT_LNC040817)". Lineage: Eukaryota; Viridiplantae; Streptophyta; Magnoliopsida; Fabales; Fabaceae. The record is from RNAcentral.